GGGAUAACAUUUGGAAACAGAUGCUAAUACCGCAUAGAUCCAAGAACCGCAUGGUUCUUGGCUGAAAGAUGGCGUAAGCUAUCGCUUUUGGAUGGACCCGCGGCGUAUUAGCUAGUUGGUGAGGUAAUGGCUCACCAAGGCGAUGAUACGUAGCCGAACUGAGAGGUUGAUCGGCCACAUUGGGACUGAGACACGGCCCAAACUCCUACGGGAGGCAGCAGUAGGGAAUCUUCCACAAUGGACGCAAGUCUGAUGGAGCAACGCCGCGUGAGUGAAGAAGGCUUUCGGGUCGUAAAACUCUGUUGUUGGAGAAGAAUGGUCGGCAGAGUAACUGUUGUCGGCGUGGCGGUAUCCAACCAGAAAGCCACGGCUAACUACGUGCCAGCAGCCGCGGUAAUACGUAGGUGGCAAGCGUUAUCCGGAUUUAUUGGGCGUAAAGCGAGCGCAGGCGGUUUUUUAAGUCUGAUGUGAAAGCCCUCGGCUUAACCAAGGAAGCGCAUCGGAAACUGGGAAACUUGAGUGCAGAAGAGGACAGUGGAACUCCAUGUGUAGCGGUGAAAUGCGUAGAUAUAUGGAAGAACACCAGUGGCGAAGGCGGCUGUCUGGUCUGUAACUGACGCUGAGGCUCGAAAGCAUGGGUAGCGAACAGGAUUAGAUACCCUGGUAGUCCAUGCCGUAAACGAUGAAUGCUAGGUGUUGGAGGGUUUCCGCC
RNAcentral lists this ribosomal RNA (712 nucleotides) under uncultured bacterium. RNAcentral's name for it is "bacterial SSU rRNA". It matches the Rfam family "Bacterial small subunit ribosomal RNA", at positions 140 to 838 of the family's 1533-position model. The record is from RNAcentral.